Molecule: long non-coding RNA, 465 nt
Organism: Medicago truncatula (barrel medic)
Lineage: Eukaryota; Viridiplantae; Streptophyta; Magnoliopsida; Fabales; Fabaceae
Exons: 2
Source: RefSeq, a predicted model, not a curated record
UUUAAGUGUUCAAAAUUAUUUAAUUGAAGCGUACAUAGCAGGAAACUUUUACUACUAAAAUGAUAAAUAUUCUUUAUUACAUGCAAUUGAGGAAAAAUAUGGUUACCUUCCUUGUUCUUCUGACGAUGAUUGCCCGAAGGAGAUGAAACCUGUAGUUGUAAAGUGUAUACAUAACUUUUGUGAGCACUUUAUGGUGGGCGAAUACGAGGGACCAUAAUCACAUAAUUGCAAUUAGCAGGGUCAAAUUCGAACAAUUGAGAAAUUUUGGUGUCAAAAGUUUAUUUUAGCCAAUUAUUUAUUCGUCAUUAUGUUUGUUUAUUUAUUUAUUUUUUUGUUUUUUCUUAUAAAAAUUGAUUUAUGUUUCUCUGGCUUUUCAAUUAAUUAUAUUUUCAUGUAAUGCAUUAUAUUUUCCUUUAUUGGGUUUUCCAAGUUUGGAUUUUAAUGAGAUAGUUGUUUUUAUUAUUA